This 460-nucleotide ribosomal RNA is filed under the name uncultured bacterium. RNAcentral's name for it is "partial 16S ribosomal RNA". It matches the Rfam family "Bacterial small subunit ribosomal RNA", at positions 338 to 795 of the family's 1533-position model. The record is from RNAcentral.
CCUACGGGGGGCUGCAGUGGGGAAUAUUGGUCAAUGGCCGUAAGGCUGAACCAGCCAAGUAGCGUGAGGGAAGACUGCCCUAUGGGUUGUAAACCUCUUUUAUGCGGGGAUAAAGGUGUCCACGUGUGGAUGUUUGCAGGUACCGCAUGAAUCAGGACCGGCUAAUUCCGUGCCAGCAUCCGCGGUAAUACGGAAGGUGCGGGCGUUAUCCGGAUUGAUUGGGUUUAAAGGGAACGUAGGCCGGUCUUUAAGCGUGCCGUGAAAUUUUGUGGCUCAACCAUGAGAGUGCGGCGCGAACUGGAGACCUUGAGUGCGCGGAAGGCAGGCGGAAUUCGUGGUGUAGCGGUGAAAUGCUUAGAUAUCACGAAGAACCCCGAUGGCGAAGGCAGCCUGCCGAAGCGUUACUGACGCUGAAGCUCGAAAGCGCGGGUAGCGAACAGGAUUAGAUACCCCGGUAGUC